CCGUAGCCCAAGAGAUCGGGAUAACACCUGGAAACAGAUGCUAAUACCGGAUAACAACAGAUGAUGCCUAUCAACUGUUUAAAAGAUGGUUCUGCUAUCACUCUUGGAUGGACCUGCGGUGCAUUAGCUAGUUGGUAGGGUAACGGCCUACCAAGGCGAUGAUGCAUGGCCGAGUUGAGAGACUGAUCGGCCACAUUGGGACUGAGACACGGCCCAAACUCCUACGGGAGGCAGCAGCC
Molecule: ribosomal RNA, 239 nt
Filed under: uncultured Lactobacillus sp.
Lineage: Bacteria; Bacillati; Bacillota; Bacilli; Lactobacillales; Lactobacillaceae
Description: partial 16S ribosomal RNA
Rfam family: Bacterial small subunit ribosomal RNA
Source: RNAcentral